UGGCUCAGGACGAACGCUGGCGGCGUGCUUAACACAUGCAAGUCGAGCGGAAAGGCCCCUUCGGGGGUACUCGAGCGGCGAACGGGUGAGUAACACGUGAGUAACCUGCCCCUGACUCUGGGAUAAGCCUGGGAAACCGGGUCUAAUACCGGAUACGACCACUCCGGGCAUCCGGUGGUGGUGGAAAGAUUUUUUCGGUCGGGGAUGGGCUCGCGGCCUAUCAGCUUGUUGGUGGGGUGACGGCCUACCAAGGCGACGACGGGUAGCCGGCCUGAGAGGGCGACCGGCCACACUGGGAUUGAGACACGGCCCAGACUCCUACGGGAGGCAGCAGUGGGGA
RNAcentral lists this ribosomal RNA (340 nucleotides) under Thermomonosporaceae bacterium ACTS143. RNAcentral's name for it is "bacterial SSU rRNA". It matches the Rfam family "Bacterial small subunit ribosomal RNA", at positions 20 to 360 of the family's 1533-position model. Lineage: Bacteria; Bacillati; Actinomycetota; Actinomycetes; Streptosporangiales; Thermomonosporaceae. The record is from RNAcentral.